UGAUCAGGGGUUUAGUUAAAAAUAUAUAUGUGUAUACAAAUAUGUUUUAUGUUAUUAAACUAGUUCAUAUUUUUUAACUACAUUAAAGUAGGAAUUCCACAUACUUAUUCAUAAAUAUGUUAUUUAUUCAACUCCGUAUUUAUUUUAACACAUGUAUAUUUCACGGAUUUUUCUAAGGCUUCCGAUCAUCAGCCGCCCAGCCAAAAUUUU
This 210-nucleotide long non-coding RNA is filed under the name Mytilus galloprovincialis (Mediterranean mussel). The record is from RNAcentral. Lineage: Eukaryota; Metazoa; Mollusca; Bivalvia; Mytilida; Mytilidae.